GGGGGUAAGUGGAGCAGCCCAGCAGGGGUCUCCCUCCUAAGCUAGAUCUUAGCCAUUGUGGUGGGUGUGGGAAGGGAUCUGGAGGGACAAGAGAAGGGGACUCCUUACCAACACAUUCAUAAUUUACAGAGGGUGCAGUAGCUGCCUUCAUAUGCACAGGAGGGGGUCUGCCUCCAAAGAAACCUCCAGGUCAUGGCCUCCCUCAGCCACAUGAUUUGGAAAACCUUGGAAACAAUUAAUAUAACAGAAGGUCCAGUGGAGUUCUUCAUCUGCACAGCAGGGGGUCCUCCUCCCAAGACACUCCAGGACAUGGUGAGUGGUUUCUUAAUAGAACUAAAGGCAGCCCUCCCUAAAAGACCAGAUCAAAUGACAAGCAAGGGGAGGCACUUAGGGAAAUACUGGGGCUCCUUCCUAGGGAAACAGAAUUGGGAAAGGGAGAGUUGGAGAGAAAUACUUACUGCACUCUAGGGGGUACUUCCAUCACAUACCAAUUCUCACAAACACUGUGCGUUCCAGAGAACCCCAGCUGGAAAUCCUCCACAAAUGUCUUUAUAGACCUUUGUCAGAAUAUAUCAAUUACAAAUAUGGGGAAAUCUGAUGUACAACAGCAGGGGGUCCUUGAGAGUAAGCCACUUCUUAUCUAGAAUUUGAGUGUCCAGAACAUCACAGCUCAAAAUGUUCCCUAUAUUCUUCUGCAUAGGCCUCCCUCAGUCACAUGGAUUGGAAAACCUUGGAAACAAUUAAUAUAAGAGGUAAUUUGCCAUAGUCAAAGAAAUUCACUGACACUUGGCUUGAGGAAGGGGGUAAGUGAAGCAGCCCAGCAGGGGUCUCCCACUAAGCUAGA
Molecule: long non-coding RNA, 844 nt
Filed under: Sarcophilus harrisii (Tasmanian devil)
Lineage: Eukaryota; Metazoa; Chordata; Mammalia; Dasyuromorphia; Dasyuridae
Description: lncRNA (ENSSHAG00000030582.1)
Source: RNAcentral